UGCGUAGGUGGUUUCUUAAGUCAGGAGUGAAAGGCUACGGCUCAACCGUAGUAAGCUCUUGAAACUGGGAAACUUGAGUGCAGGAGAGGAAAGUGGAAUUCCUAGUGUAGCGGUGAAAUGCGUAGAUAUUAGGAGGAACACCAGUAGCGAAGGCGGCUUUCUGGACUGUAACUGACACUGAGGCACGAAAGCGUGGGGAGGCAAACA
Molecule: ribosomal RNA, 207 nt
Filed under: uncultured bacterium
Lineage: Bacteria
Description: partial 16S ribosomal RNA
Rfam family: Bacterial small subunit ribosomal RNA
Source: RNAcentral